RNAcentral lists this ribosomal RNA (517 nucleotides) under uncultured Thelephoraceae. Its description in RNAcentral is "eukaryotic LSU rRNA". The stretch from base 209 to 363 matches the Rfam family "5.8S ribosomal RNA". Lineage: Eukaryota; Fungi; Basidiomycota; Agaricomycetes; Thelephorales; Thelephoraceae. The record is from RNAcentral.
AGGAUCAUUACCGAAUCGUCAACAAGAGUUGUUGCUGGUCCUCAAAUGGGGGCAUGUGCACGCUCUGUUCACACAUCCACUCACUCCUGUGCACCCUCUGUAGUUCUAUGGUUGGGGGGCCCAUCCUCCCGCUAUGGUUCUGCGUCUUUACACACACACUGUAACAAAGUCUCAUGGAAUGCAUGCCGCGUUUAACGCAAUACAAUACAACUUUCAGCAACGGAUCUCUUGGCUCUCGCAUCGAUGAAGAACGCAGCGAAAUGCGAUAAGUAAUGUGAAUUGCAGAAUUCAGUGAAUCAUCGAAUCUUUGAACGCACCUUGCGCCCUUUGGCCAUUCCGAAGGGCAUGCCUGUUUGAGUAUCAUGAACACCUCAACUCUUUAUGGUUUUCCAUGAUGAGCUUGGACUUUGGGGGUUUUGCUGGCAAUACGGUCGGCUCCUCUAAAAUAAAUCANCUUGCCAGUGUAUGGUGGGCAUCACAGGUGUGAUAACUAUCUACGCUUGUGGUUUUCCCACCA